This 1343-nucleotide ribosomal RNA is filed under the name uncultured bacterium. RNAcentral describes it as "16S ribosomal RNA". It matches the Rfam family "Bacterial small subunit ribosomal RNA", at positions 28 to 1378 of the family's 1533-position model. The record is from RNAcentral.
GACGAACGCUGGCGGCGUGCUUAACACAUGCAAGUCGAACGGAAAGGCCCUGCUUUUGUGGGGUGCUCGAGUGGCGAACGGGUGAGUAACACGUGAGUAACCUGCCCUUGACUUUGGGAUAACUUCAGGAAACUGGGGCUAAUACCGGAUAGGAGCUCCUGCUGCAUGGUGGGGGUUGGAAAGUUUCGGCGGUUGGGGAUGGACUCGCGGCUUAUCAGCUUGUUGGUGGGGUAGUGGCUUACCAAGGCUUUGACGGGUAGCCGGCCUGAGAGGGUGACCGGCCACAUUGGGACUGAGAUACGGCCCAGACUCCUACGGGAGGCAGCAGUGGGGAAUAUUGCACAAUGGGCGGAAGCCUGAUGCAGCAACGCCGCGUGCGGGAUGACGGCCUUCGGGUUGUAAACCGCUUUCGCCUGUGACGAAGCGUGAGUGACGGUAAUGGGUAAAGAAGCACCGGCUAACUACGUGCCAGCAGCCGCGGUGAUACGUAGGGUGCGAGCGUUGUCCGGAUUUAUCGGGCGUAAAGGGCUCGUAGGUGGUUGAUCGCGUCGGAAGUGUAAUCUUGGGGCUUAACCCUGAGCGUGCUUUCGAUACGGGUUGACUUGAGGAAGGUAGGGGAGAAUGGAACUCCUGGUGGAGCGGUGGAAUGCGCAGAUAUCAGGAGGAACACCAGUGGCGAAGGCGGUUCUCUGGGCCUUUCCUGACGCUGAGGAGCGAAAGCGUGGGGAGCGAACAGGCUUAGAUACCCUGGUAGUCCACGCUGUAAACGGUGGGUACUAGGUGUGGGGUCCAUUCCACGGGUUCCGUGCCGUAGCUAACGCUUUAAGUACCCCGCCUGGGGAGUACGGCCGCAAGGCUAAAACUCAAAGGAAUUGACGGGGCCCCGCACAAGCGGCGGAGCAUGCGGAUUAAUUCGAUGCAACGCGUAGAACCUUACCUGGGUUUGACAUGGAUCGGGAGCGCUCAGAGAUGGGUGUGCCUCUUUUGGGGUCGGUUCACAGGUGGUGCAUGGCUGUCGUCAGCUCGUGUCGUGAGAUGUUGGGUUAAGUCCCGCAACGAGCGCAACCCUUGUUCACUGUUGCCAGCACGUUAUGGUGGGGACUCAGUGGAGACCGCCGGGGUCAACUCGGAGGAAGGUGGGGAUGACGUCAAGUCAUCAUGCCCCUUAUGUCCAGGGCUUCACGCAUGCUACAAUGGCUGGUACAGAGAGUGGCGAGCCUGUGAGGGUGAGCGAAUCUCGGAAAGCCGGUCUCAGUUCGGAUUGGGGUCUGCAACUCGACCUCAUGAAGUCGGAGUCGCUAGUAAUCGCAGAUCAGCAACGCUGCGGUGAAUACGUUCCCGGG